Long non-coding RNA from Culex quinquefasciatus (southern house mosquito), 182 nucleotides. RefSeq lists it as uncharacterized. The transcript is spliced from 2 exons. The record is from RefSeq and is a predicted model, not a curated record. Lineage: Eukaryota; Metazoa; Arthropoda; Insecta; Diptera; Culicidae.
UUAUCGUCGACGCAAACAGUUUGACAGUUCUCUUCAGUUGAACUUGUUCGGACUUGAUUGCAAACGAGUCAAACAAAUUGUUGUUGGUUUUAGGCUUUGGGAGGAUUUUGGCCAGUUUAAAGAUUGCGGUCUUCGUGGCAGUAUAGGAGGAAGAGGAGGACGGGAAAUAUGGAUUACUCGGC